AUACCAUCAAAACCCCCCUUUUGUAGCAAUACGCAAGGUGCUAGGGCUUUGGAUGUUGACUUUCGCUGUUUUCUGUUGAAAGCAGCCUAGUCCAAACAUAGGAGCAGACCGGUGGUAUGACUAUAGCCCCUCUUGUUUGACUCGGCGUGAUAGUUAUCUUCGUCGAGACUCUCGAGGUGGUGUCUAUUAGCACUUGGCGCUUAUAAUUCUCUACAUACAAU
RNAcentral lists this unclassified non-coding RNA (221 nucleotides) under uncultured Basidiomycota. RNAcentral's name for it is "sequence contains ITS2". The record is from RNAcentral. Lineage: Eukaryota; Fungi; Basidiomycota.